CACGGCCUUGGUUUGGCCAGGGCCGGGGUGGUUUCUUCGCUGUUUCACCCCACCUGAAGAGGCAGUGGCACAGGGCUUGAGAGGCCAGCCGGGGGUUGGAGCCAGCCCCCUUCCCCCAGCAGGCAGGCAGGGCAUCGGAGCCGAGCCAUAGAUGGGCCGACGGGUGGCCCGGGAGCUGCAGAAGCAGCGGAGAUCGUGCAGAGCUGGAAGACUUCCAGGCAGAGGAUGAGAGAAAGACUUGAAGCAGUCUCGCUGCCACUUCCCCCCCCCCCCCCAAUGGUGGGGGAGGAGGCGACCCUGAGUUGAGACUGAGCAACGGAGAGACAGGGCGAGGGGCUCGGAGGUGAUUUGGGCGGGGGCAGCUGAAAACCAAAAGAGGAAUAUGGGGGAGGAAUGCCUCCUGUGACAUGUGGAAGUCGAGCUGAAGCUGCAGCUGAAACAGAGAGAAGCCAAACCAAGCAGACUUUUUCUGGGUGAAGCAUGUCAGGAGACAAGAGCCUGAACUACAAAUGUGCUGUGAAUAUUGCAGCCUCCACUGAGCCUGCAGGUGAUUGCUAUGGGAAUUACUACGAUGAAAAUAAUUUAGGGUGAAAGGCAGAUGAAUUCUUAAGAAGUAAGUAUACUCUCAUGCAACAGUAAUAUUGUCAUGUCCCUAAUGAUAAAAGUGAUAGAAGAAAACCCAAAAGAUACAUGACACCCAGACAAAGUGUUUUUAACUAGAACAUUUUUCAAAGUUUUCCAGACGACAUCAAUUGCUUCUUAAGCAAAUUGUUUUGUACAGAACUCCAAUGGGAGAAUUACAAAACUCCCCUCUUCAGCCUACAAUUAGUUUAAUCAGGUAACUGAGGGCUUGAA
Pseudopipra pipra is the source of this 855-nucleotide long non-coding RNA. RefSeq lists it as uncharacterized. The transcript is spliced from 3 exons. Lineage: Eukaryota; Metazoa; Chordata; Aves; Passeriformes; Pipridae. The record is from RefSeq and is a predicted model, not a curated record.